This 446-nucleotide ribosomal RNA is filed under the name uncultured bacterium. Its description in RNAcentral is "partial 16S ribosomal RNA". It matches the Rfam family "Bacterial small subunit ribosomal RNA", at positions 338 to 795 of the family's 1533-position model. The record is from RNAcentral.
CCUACGGGAGGCAGCAGUCGAGAAUCAUUCACAAUGGGGGAAACCCUGAUGGUGCGACGCCGCGUGGGGGAAUGAAGGUCUUCGGAUUGUAAACCCCUGUCAGGUGGGAGCAAAUAAAAAAGAUAGUACCCCAAGAGGAAGAGACGGCUAACUCUGUGCCAGCAGCCGCGGUAAUACAGAGGUCUCAAGCGUUGUUCGGAAUCAUUGGGCGUAAAGCGUGCGUAGGCUGUUUCGUAAGCCGUGUGUGAAAGGCGCGGGCUCAACCCGCGGACGGCACAUGAUACUGCGAGACUAGAGUAAUGGAGGGGGAACCGGAAUUCUCGGUGUAGCAGUGAAAUGCGUAGAUAUCGAGAGGAACACUCGUGGCGAAGGCGGGUUCCUGGACAUUAACUGACGCUGAGGCACGAAGGCCAGGGGAGCGAAAGGGAUUAGAUACCCGAGUAGUC